RNAcentral lists this ribosomal RNA (2403 nucleotides) under Triticum aestivum (bread wheat). Its description in RNAcentral is "partial small subunit ribosomal RNA". The record is from RNAcentral. Lineage: Eukaryota; Viridiplantae; Streptophyta; Magnoliopsida; Poales; Poaceae.
AUGACUAAUUCUGCAAGCCGUCGCCGGAAAUCUACAAGCUUUCAGAGAACUAACUCUGAUGAAAGCUGUAGCGUGGACAUGAGUGAUAAUGAUGUUUCCUCUCAAUCAAAAUCAACCAGGAAUAGCCGUAUAAGAUCUCCCAAAAAACUUAAGAGAGCAGCGGCCUCCGAAGUUAAGCAGACAAUCAACUGGAAAUGUGAUCCAAACAAGAUAUGCGCCAUUAUAAAAAAACUAUGUCCAGAACAGCUAAAAUGGAUAGAAGAAUUGGGAUUUGGAUCACUCAUUGACAUGAUUGAGUGCAAGUUACCCAGAAAGCUAACUAUAUGGCUGAUGAAAAGAGUAGACUGCGACAACAAGUGUCUAGUAUUCAGAAACAGGAAGGUCUCUAUAGUACAAGCUGUUGAAAACCUGUUGAAGUUACCUGCUCUUGACAAACCAGUUCCAAUGCCCCAUCCAGGUAGGGUUCAUGACAAACCUUUCAGAGAUAAAACUGAAUUCAAGUCUGCUACGGCCGGAAGAGGAGAAUCACUCAAGGAAGCGACAGACAGGAUGUUAACAUACAAAGAGGAGAAAGACAAGGACAAGUUUUGCUUGUGUUUCAUGCAAGUCAUUCUUUGCGCCUACUUAGCUCCAACGACUGGUUACCAAAUUAAUAGAAGUUACCUGCUAGGAGCUUUGAAGGACUUGAGCGACAUACCUUCUAUGAAUUGGUGUCGUUUUGCUGCUGAGUACCUUAUCGAGGCAAUCCGUGAAUCAAGGGAAAACAAAGUGCAGAACCUGAAUGUCGGUGGAUGCAUUCAUAUUCUACAUGAUGAUGAAAAGUUAGCAAUGUUCCCUACUGUGGAAGACCAUAAUGAUGAUCUUGAUGAUCACGAAAAUUCUACACAUUCCACCCAACCAGUAACAGCAAAUAUAAGUAAUGUACCUUGCAAGGAGAAACAUAAACUUCCUCCACAAAAUUUGAUCAAACGGAUAAAGAUGCUUGAAGACCAGUACACAUCCGAUCGACAAAGGUUGAUCACUGUGUCUGAAUGCAAGCUUCAAAACAAGCUGCAACAACUUCAAAUAAAGAAAACCAAGGAAAUGGCAGCCUUGCUCCAGGAAGAGAUUCAUAAGGCUAUGUUACCGAUGAUUGAUAAUGCACGUCCAGGAAGUUCUCUGCAUAAUGAUAAUGCAACUUUGACCAAAGGAACUGUAGGAACACAAAGUCCAUGUCACUCCAAUCUAGAUGAAGCUGUUCUGAUUUCUUCCCAGUCUGCUCAACGUGUCGAAGAUGACAACUUCCAUUCUGCUUCGCCCAUUAUUGCUCACAUUACUCAGUACGAGCCUUCUUCUUCUAAAGAAUUGGCUACCACGGACCAGAUUGUUGAGGCUGAACCUUCUGCUUGUAAAGAUCCAUUGGUUGAAAGCAUUUGCACUUUUCAAAAUCUCAAGUCCGAUGCUAAAACAUGUUCUGCAACAACCGCCAUACAAAGACAAGAGACUUCUCUUGCCAAUGUUUUAUCGUCGUCAAAUAUAUGUGCUUCUACAGAUCCGUUAGAAUUAGUCUCUGCAGUCAUCAUUCCCACAACUGCAAUUAUCAUUCCAAACAAUGUUGCCCACCAAGUCCAGUCACAUCAUGUUCAAACUGAGAAAAGCAACAUGCCAAGUGAAGAUUCAUCAAUCAUGAAGUUUGUUGUUACUGAUGGUCAACCGGAUAGUGCUUCUCUUGUACCUGUUACUAGUGCUAUUAAUGUGCGUGGACAUGGCAACCCAGGGGAUGAGCCAGAGAGUAAUGCAUUUGGUGUUCAACAUGCAAAACAGGAUUCAUCCAAAAAUGUUUUGCAUGAAGUACAUAAUACCGUUUCUACCGCAGCAACUUCUGAUGUAAUUCCAGAUAUUGCCUUCAUUGAUCCAAAAUCAACAAAAUCUUCAUCUCAAACAGAUGUUUGUGAUGCACAGAAAGCUACAAAGAAUCAUAGUUUCUCACACAAUCCCGCCUCAGAUGUUGUUCAACUACAACAUAUAGAGAAGACGACACUUGAAGAUGACCUUCAGAACCAAUCGAAUGAUCAUUUGAUAAAUCUUGAUGUCAGCAAAAAUGAUAUUCAAUCGACGAAAGAUAUUGAAAGUUCUGAUACUGAUUCCACUUCAAAAGAUGUUCCAAAUAUUUCUUCCCCACCUGUAUCCAUACAAAUAGUAGGUGAUGUAUCAAUUAUGUCAGUCAGUCAGAUGACCAAGGAAUAUGAUAGGAUGAAUGUACCAACGGAUGCUAGUAUUUAUACUACUCAACAUAAUGCUGCAUCUACGCUCCAGGAAGUCUCAAGAAUUGAAGAUAUGCAGAGCCUUAUUCAGCCUCAGACUAUUGUUUUGGAAACUUCUGUUCAGCCCAAGCACAGAUCCUCCAGUUUGGAUGUUUUGUAG